Molecule: small RNA, 624 nt
Filed under: Arabidopsis thaliana (thale cress)
Lineage: Eukaryota; Viridiplantae; Streptophyta; Magnoliopsida; Brassicales; Brassicaceae
Description: ATSL287600
Source: RNAcentral
AAAAUGUUAAAUUUAUUUAUCAUCAAAAAGAGAAUAUGUACAAUGAAAGAGGACUGUCAUAAGGCGGACUCAGUAAACUGUGCCUAGCCAUGAAUGUAUUAGCAAGAGCUCCACGGCUCCGUCAUCAGCUCCAGAAUCUGACACAAGAUCGGAGAAAAACUCAAAUGCAGAUGAAGGGUCAACGAGUCAGAACGACGUCGCUGCAGUAAACAAAGGAAAAGGGAUAUUGGGCCACUCACCUAACAAGCCCAAUGUCAACUUAACUGAGAAGCCCAACAAAUCUUCUUCAUCUUCUCAACGGUCAAAACCACCUAUGCAAGAGAACAAAGCCAGAGUAACGACAGAGAAGAGGAGCGUCUGUCGUACGCCUCCAAUCAACACGGAGAACAGAUUUGAUUGUUUGAUGAUCUGCUAAGCAUAACAAGAUUGAGACAUCUGUCAGUUUACAAUAAUUGAAACUCUAGCGUUGUUUAACUAUAAAAGGAAACUUGUGAUGUAACAUAAAACUUAAGUGAAAUAAUAAGAAAGUAAAGUUCACUCAAAACAUUACCUAAAAUAGCCGUCUUGCUCUUAAUUUCAGAAUGGUUGUGAGUUUUCAAAUAGAUUAGAAUUUAAAUUGUCAAU